RNAcentral lists this ribosomal RNA (253 nucleotides) under uncultured bacterium. RNAcentral's name for it is "partial 16S ribosomal RNA". It matches the Rfam family "Bacterial small subunit ribosomal RNA", at positions 524 to 776 of the family's 1533-position model. The record is from RNAcentral.
UACGUAGGUGGCGAGCGUUGUCCGGAUUUACUGGGCGUAAAGAGCGCGCAGGCGGUCGUACAAGUCGCGUGUGAAAACCCCUGGCUCAACUGGGGAGGGUCACGCGAUACUGUUCGACUCGAAGGCAGGAGAGGGAAGUGGAAUUCCCGGUGUAGUGGUGAAAUGCGUAGAUAUCGGGAGGAACACCAGUGGCGAAGGCGACUUCCUGGCCUGUUCUUGACGCUGAGGCGCGAAAGCUAGGGUAGCAAACGGG